This 166-nucleotide small nuclear RNA is filed under the name Castor canadensis (American beaver). RNAcentral describes it as "U1 spliceosomal RNA (ENSCCNG00000002879.1)". It matches the Rfam family "U1 spliceosomal RNA". From Rfam's summary of the family: U1 is a small nuclear RNA (snRNA) component of the spliceosome (involved in pre-mRNA splicing). The record is from Rfam by way of RNAcentral. Lineage: Eukaryota; Metazoa; Chordata; Mammalia; Rodentia; Castoridae.
AUACUUACUUUGCAGGGGAGAUACCAUUUACCAUGAUCACGAAGGUGGUUUUCCCAGGGCAGGCUUAUCCAUUGCACUCUGGAUGUACUGACCUCUGCAAUUUCCCCAAAUGUGGGAAACUCAACUGCAAAAUUUGUGGUUGUGGGGGACUGUGUUUGCGCUCUAA